Molecule: small RNA, 568 nt
Filed under: Pongo abelii (Sumatran orangutan)
Lineage: Eukaryota; Metazoa; Chordata; Mammalia; Primates; Hominidae
Description: processed transcript
Source: RNAcentral
UUUUGUUCUCUUGAAUAGCUAUUCUUUGCUGAUGAUAAAAAACCAAACGGGAGAAAAGUUGUGGGUGAUGUGGCAUACGACGAGGCCAAAGAGAGGGCGAGCUUCAUCACUCCUGUUCCUGGCGGCGUAGGGCCCAUGACAGUUGCAAUGCUCAUGCAGAGCACAGUAGAGAGUGCCAAGCGUUUCCUGGAGAAAUUUAAGCCAGGAAAGUGGAUGAUUCAGUAUAACAACCUUAACCUCAAGACACCUGUUCCAAGUGACAUUGAUAUAUCACGAUCUUGUAAACCAAAGCCCAUUGGUAAGCUGGCUCGAGAAAUUGGUCUGCUGUCUGAAGAGGUAGAAUUAUAUGGUGAAACAAAGGCCAAAGUUCUGCUGUCAGCACUAGAACGCCUGAAGCACCGGCCUGAUGGGAAAUACGUGGUGGUCACUGGAAUAACUCCAACACCCCUGGGAGAAGGGAAAAGCACAACUACAGUCGGGCUAGUGCAAGCCCUUGGUGCCCAUCUCUACCAGAAUGUCUUUGCGUGUGUGCGACAGCCUUCUCAGGGCCCCACCUUUGGAAUAAAAG